UGAGGAAUAUUGGGUCAAUGGGACGGGGAGUCUGAACCAGCCAAGUAGCGUGCAGGAUGACGGCCCUAUGGGUUGUAAACUGCUUUUAUAGGGGGAUAAAGUGUGUCACGUGUGGCAUAUUGCAGGUACCCUAUGAAUAAGGACCGGCUAAUUCCGUGCCAGCAGCCGCGGUAAUACGGAAGGUCCGGGCGUUAUCCGGAUUUAUUGGGUUUAAAGGGUGCGCAGGCGGGACUCGUCAAGUCAGCGGUAAAAAUUCGGGGCUCAACCCCGUCCUGCCGUUGAAACUGCGAGACUGGAGUGCGACAGAGGAAGGCGGAAUGCGAGGUGUAGCGGUGAAAUGCAUAGAUAUCGCGCAGAACUCCGAUUGCGAAGGCAGCUUUCCAUGUCGUGACUGACGCUGAGGCACGAAAGCGU
RNAcentral lists this ribosomal RNA (414 nucleotides) under uncultured Prevotella sp. RNAcentral's name for it is "bacterial SSU rRNA". It matches the Rfam family "Bacterial small subunit ribosomal RNA", at positions 355 to 762 of the family's 1533-position model. The record is from RNAcentral. Lineage: Bacteria; Pseudomonadati; Bacteroidota; Bacteroidia; Bacteroidales; Prevotellaceae.